This 486-nucleotide ribosomal RNA is filed under the name uncultured bacterium. RNAcentral's name for it is "bacterial SSU rRNA". It matches the Rfam family "Bacterial small subunit ribosomal RNA", at positions 29 to 509 of the family's 1533-position model. The record is from RNAcentral.
AACGAACGCUGGCGGCGCGCCUAAUACAUGCAAGUCGAGCGAGAAGACGUAGCAAUACGUUUGUAAAGCGGCGAACGGGUGAGGAAUACAUGGGUAACCUACCCUCGAGUGGGGAAUAACUAGCCGAAAGGUUAGCUAAUACCGCGUACGCUCCUUGGACUUCGGUUCAGGGAGGAAAGCGAUACCGUGGGUAUCGCGCUCUUGGAUGGGCUCAUGUCCUAUCAGCUUGUUGGUGAGGAACGGCUCACCAAGGCUUCGACGGGUAGCUGGUCUGAGAGGACGAUCAGCCACACUGGCACUGCGACACGGGCCAGACUCCUACGGGAGGCAGCAGUAAGGAAUAUUGCGCAAUGGGCGAAAGCCUGACGCAGCGACGCCGCGUGGGGGAUGAAGGUCUUCGGAUUGUAAACCCCUUUCGGGAGGGAAGAUGGAACGAGCAAUCGUUCGGACGGUACCUCCAGGAGCAGCCACGGCUAACUUCGUGCC